This 1055-nucleotide long non-coding RNA is filed under the name Zonotrichia albicollis (white-throated sparrow). RNAcentral describes it as "lncRNA (ENSZALG00000001475.1)". The record is from RNAcentral. Lineage: Eukaryota; Metazoa; Chordata; Aves; Passeriformes; Passerellidae.
AAUUUGGAGAUAACAGGGGUUUGCUGGACUUGGGUUUUUCCCUCAUGGAGUGGAGGAGAUCUGAGAAAAAUCCAAUUUAGGACAAUGGGAGUUUUCUGGAGUUGGGAUUUUGGGGUUGUGAUUUCUGCUCAUGGAGGAGACCCAAAAAAAAUCCAAUUUGGAGAUAACAGGGGUUUCCUGGACUUGGGUUUUUCCCUCAUGGAGUGGAGGAGAUCUGAGAAAAAUCCAAUUUGGGACAGUGGGAGUUUUCUGGAGUUGGGUUUUUGGGGUUCAUGAUUUUCAUUCAUGCCAUGGAGGAGAUCUGAAAAAAAUUCACCUUGGGACAAUAGGGGUUUCCUGGAUUUGCUUUUUGGGGUUGUGAUUUUUGCUCAUGGAGGAGACCCAAAAAAAAUGCAGUUUGGAGAUAACAGGGGUUUGCUGGACUUGGGUUUUUCCCUCAUGGAGUGGAGGAGAUCUGAGAAAAAUCCAAUUUAGGACAAUGGGGGUUUUCUGGAGUUGGGAUUUUUGGGGUUGUGAUUUCUGCUCAUGGAGGAGAUCUGGAAAAAAAUCCAAUUUUGGGAUGGCAAGAGGUUUUCUAGAGUUGGGAUUUUUGCUCAUGACAUGGAAGAAGAGAUCCAAAAAUAAUCCAUUUUGGGAUGGCAGAGGUUUUCUGGACUUGUGUUUUUUCCCUCAUGGAGUGGAGGAAAUCUGAGAAAAAUCCANGGAUUGGGGGGGUCCCCACCCCAAAAAGAACUGGGACUGAAACUGGGGGGUCCCCAUCCCUAAAAGAGCUGGGAUUGGGGGGUCCCACCCCAAAAAGAGCUGAAACUGGGGGGUCCCCACCCUAAAAAGUGAUGGGAUUGGGGUCCCCACCCCUAAAUGAGCUAGGAUUGGGAUUUGGGGGUCCUCACCCCAAAAAGAGCUGGGACUGAAACUGGGGGGUCCCCACCCUAAAAGAGCUGGAAUUGGGGGGUCCCCACCCCAAAAAGAGCUGGGAUUGGGGGGUCCCCACCCCAAAAAGUGAUGGUCUGGGAUUUGGGGGGUCCCACCCCAAAAAGAGAUGGUCUGGGAUUGGG